GGAGGGAUCAUUAAAGAGUUCUAUAACUCCCAAACCCAUGUGAACAUACCUAACGUUGCCUCGGCAGGUCGCACCUACCUUGUAGCACCCUACCCUGUAGGGCCUACCCGGGAGGUGCGGGUAAGCCUGCCGGCGGCCCACCAAACUCUGUUUGAUAUUGAAUUCUGAACCUAUAACUAAAUAAGUUAAAACUUUCAACAACGGAUCUCUUGGUUCUGGCAUCGAUGAAGAACGCAGCGAAAUGCGAUAAGUAAUGUGAAUUGCAGAAUUCAGUGAAUCAUCGAAUCUUUGAACGCAUAUUGCGCCCAUUAGUAUUCUAGUGGGCAGGACCGUUCGAGCGUCAUUUCAACCCUUAAGCCUUCGUUGCUUAGUGUUGGGAGCCUACGGCAACGUAGCUCCUCAAAGUUAGUGGCGGAGUUGGUUCACACUCUAGACGUAGUAAUUUUUUAUCUCGCCUAUUAGUUGGACUAAUCCCCUGCCGUAAAACCCCCAAUUUAUCAAGGUUGACCUCGAAUCGGUUCAGACAAACUCGCUAAAUUGAAGCAUCUUAGUCAGCGAAGGAAAAGAAACCAACAGGGAUUGCCCUAGUAACGGCGAGUGAAGCGGCAACAGCUCAAAUUUGA
RNAcentral lists this ribosomal RNA (623 nucleotides) under fungal endophyte. RNAcentral's name for it is "eukaryotic LSU rRNA". The stretch from base 190 to 343 matches the Rfam family "5.8S ribosomal RNA". Lineage: Eukaryota; Fungi. The record is from RNAcentral.